This 424-nucleotide ribosomal RNA is filed under the name uncultured Anaerosporobacter sp. Its description in RNAcentral is "bacterial SSU rRNA". It matches the Rfam family "Bacterial small subunit ribosomal RNA", at positions 355 to 794 of the family's 1533-position model. The record is from RNAcentral. Lineage: Bacteria; Bacillati; Bacillota; Clostridia; Lachnospirales; Lachnospiraceae.
UGGGGAAUAUUGCACAAUGGGGGGAAACCCUGAUGCAGCGACGCCGCGUGAGUGAAGAAGUAUUUCGGUAUGUAAAGCUCUAUCAGCAGGGAAGAAAAUGACAGUACCUGACUAAGAAGCCCCGGCUAACUACGUGCCAGCAGGCCGCGGUAAUACGUAGGGGGCAAGCGUUAUCCGGAUUUACUGGGUGUAAAGGGAGCGUAGGUGGUAAUGCAAGUCAGAAGUGAAAACCCCGUGCUUAACAUGGGGACUGCUUUUGAAACUGUAUAACUAGAGUGCAGGAGAGGUAAGUGGAAUUCCUAGUGUAGCGGUGAAAUGCGUAGAUAUUAGGAGGAACACCGGUGGCGAAGGCGGCUUACUGGACUGUAACUGACACUGAGGCUCGAAAGCGUGGGGAGCAAACAGGAUUAGAUACCCUGGUAGU